Molecule: non-coding RNA, 799 nt
Organism: Prunus avium (sweet cherry)
Lineage: Eukaryota; Viridiplantae; Streptophyta; Magnoliopsida; Rosales; Rosaceae
Source: RefSeq, a predicted model, not a curated record
CUCUCUGAAGACAAUCACUUAACCAAACCAAUAAAAUAAUCCUCGCUCUAUAAUUAAAGAGGCAGUACAUGUGCCGUCCUUUCUCUGAGACUCCAUCAUUGGUCUUUCAUUUUUUUGGGCGAACAGCAUCAUUGGUCUUUCUUCCUUGUACUAAAGAAAAGAAAGAAGAAAAAGGAAGAAGAGGAAGAAGAAAGAAGAAUCCAACCCAACCUAACCCUCUUCGAGAAGGAACACCGCGCGCAGCACCAACCACCAGGAAUUUACGUGAACUCAAUUGCAGCGACCAGAAGCACAAGUACAAGUGUGAAAGAAGACAAAUCGCAAAUAUACAUCACAACCCAGAAACCACAAAUCGUUGCUCGAAUCCAGUACACAAUUUAUGUUCAAGGGUUAGUUUAAGGCUCACUUCAGCUUUUAUAUAUUGGAUGAAGCUUGGGCAAAAACAGGGAAAGAGUUAGUUCAUACACAGAGAGACUGGUGGUUUGGCUUUGCUGCUCUGUUUCUCUCACUCCAAUAUUCGCCAAUUUCUUUUUGAAUGAUGGAUUUGAGGAUUGAUAUGCCGAGGGCUUCCUUUGCUCAAAUUGGCAAUCUCGGGCUUCUGCUGCUAUGGCAUAUUCUACACCUUUUUGUCAGCAUAUGGUACUUUCUAUUGGGUGUAGCUUAUGUGCUUCAAAGCUAUCUUAUUUCUGGUGGAGUACUCAAGAGCUUCAAAGCCCUUAAUUUGGGCAAGCUACGGUACCUGGCAAUUGUGAUAGAAAGUGAAGAAGCUUACCAAACAUCAAAAGUAAUUGAGCUGCUG